RNAcentral lists this ribosomal RNA (202 nucleotides) under uncultured bacterium. RNAcentral describes it as "partial 16S ribosomal RNA". It matches the Rfam family "Bacterial small subunit ribosomal RNA", at positions 328 to 539 of the family's 1533-position model. The record is from RNAcentral.
ACGCUCGACACCUACGGGGGGCAGCAGUGGGGAAUAUUGGGCAAUGGGCGAAAGCCUGACCCAGCAACGCCGCGUGAGGGAAGAAGGUUUUUCGGAUUGUAAACCUCUGUCCUCAGGGACGAAGGACGUGACGGUACCUGAGGAGGAAGCCCCGGCUAACUACGUGCUAGCAGCCGCGGUAAUCUGAGCGGGCUGGCAAGGC